AGCUCUUGACAUGGGGAUUAAGGUCUUUGGAAACAUUGACCGUCAGUUCGGCUGGAUCCCACAC
This 64-nucleotide ribosomal RNA is filed under the name uncultured organism. RNAcentral's name for it is "partial 16S ribosomal RNA". The record is from RNAcentral.